Molecule: ribosomal RNA, 468 nt
Filed under: uncultured bacterium
Lineage: Bacteria
Description: partial 16S ribosomal RNA
Rfam family: Bacterial small subunit ribosomal RNA
Source: RNAcentral
GACGAACGCUGGCGGCGUGCUUAACACAUGCAAGUCGAACGGAAAGGCCCUGCUUUUGUGGGGUGCUCGAGUGGCGAACGGGUGAGUAACACGUGAGUAACCUGCCCUUGACUUUGGGAUAACUCCAGGAAACUGGGGCUAAUACCGGAUAGGAGCUCCUGCUGCAUGGUGGGGGUUGGAAAGUUUCGGCGGUUGGGGAUGGACUCGCGGCUUAUCAGCUUGUUGGUGGGGUAGUGGCUUACCAAGGCUUUGACGGGUAGCCGGCCUGAGAGGGUGACCGGCCACAUUGGGACUGAGAGACGCCCCAGACUCCUACGGGAGGCAGCGGGGGGGAAUAUUGCACAAUGGGCGGAAGCCUGAUGCAGCAACGCCGCGUGCGUGAUGACGGCCUUCGGGUUGUAAACCGCUUUCGCCUGUGACGAAGCGUGAGUGACGGUAAUGGGUAAAGAAGCACCGGCUAACUACGUG